UACGGGAGGCAGCAGUGGGGAAUAUUGCACAAUGGGCGCAAGCCUGAUGCAGCCAUGCCGCGUGUAUGAAGAAGGCCUUCGGGUUGUAAAGUACUUUCAGCGGGGAGGAAGGCGGUGAAGUUAAUAGCUUCACCGAUUGACGUUACCCGCAGAAGAAGCACCGGCUAACUCCGUGCCAGCAGCCGCGGUAAUACGGAGGGUGCAAGCGUUAAUCGGAAUUACUGGGCGUAAAGCGCACGCAGGCGGUCUGUCAAGUCGGAUGUGAAAUCCCCGGGCUUAACCUGGGAACUGCAUUCGAAACUGGCAGGCUAGAGUCUUGUAGAGGGGGUAGAAUUCCAGGUGUAGCGGUGAAAUGCGUAGAGAUCUGGGGGAAUACCGGUGGCGAAGGCGGCCCCUGGGACAAAGCUGACGCUCAGGUGCGAAAGCGUGGGGAGCAAACGAGGAUUAGAUACC
RNAcentral lists this ribosomal RNA (453 nucleotides) under uncultured bacterium. RNAcentral's name for it is "bacterial SSU rRNA". It matches the Rfam family "Bacterial small subunit ribosomal RNA", at positions 340 to 786 of the family's 1533-position model. The record is from RNAcentral.